GUCUACCACAGUUGUGUGGACUGUGUUUACAGUCAACGAGAGACCCAUGCAGCUCCAACAAGCAGUCUUGUAAAUAUUUUGGUUCAGACCUACAGACGAAAUAAAGUCUCCCUUGGAGGCUCUGGUCUGUCUGUUGGUGCAAAAUUUUGAUGGAAGAAAAAGACUUGAGAGAAAGCACAAUUUCAGAACAAAAUUUGUAUUAGAAUUUUAUAGCUGCAGCAAAAUACAGAACACUGAACAGUACAAGUCUAAGUGAAACGUAAGCAUCAAAUGAGUGUGCUGAAAGUGGCAUCAGUAUGAAAUUCAUCUUCCCUUUUAUGAUCUGGCUUUCAGAUAUUGCUUCCAGGACACAUGCUGAAGAAUCCCAUCUCUGGUGCAAAUCCUAAAGAUACAUCCUGGACAUAUACACUGUUUCUCUGACAAAAAGUGAAAAUGCAGCCUCUGCUUUACUGGAGUUUGCAUGGUAUAUAUGCCAAAGAGGGUGUGCUCCUGGCUGCUUCU
Long non-coding RNA from Nothoprocta perdicaria, 501 nucleotides. RefSeq lists it as uncharacterized. The record is from RefSeq and is a predicted model, not a curated record. Lineage: Eukaryota; Metazoa; Chordata; Aves; Tinamiformes; Tinamidae. The transcript has 3 exons.